Molecule: non-coding RNA, 119 nt
Organism: Pteropus alecto (black flying fox)
Lineage: Eukaryota; Metazoa; Chordata; Mammalia; Chiroptera; Pteropodidae
Source: Rfam
GUCUAUGGCCAUGCUACUCUGAACAAGCCUGAUCCCAUCUGAUCUUGGAAGCUAAGCAGGGUUGGGCCUGGUUAGUACUUGGAUGGGAAACUACCUAGGAAGACUAGGUGCUGUAGGUA